This 233-nucleotide ribosomal RNA is filed under the name Triticum aestivum (bread wheat). RNAcentral's name for it is "partial small subunit ribosomal RNA". The record is from RNAcentral. Lineage: Eukaryota; Viridiplantae; Streptophyta; Magnoliopsida; Poales; Poaceae.
AGGGCGAUUUUAUUAUCUCAAAUGUAGCAUCAAGCGGAUACAAAACAUUAUGAGUAACACCCGGUCUCUGCAUAAUUAGGAUGCACACAGCCAAACACCAAAGUCUGACACUAGAAAAAGUAAGAAAACCGACAAUACGACAACAGUAGAGUCCUAUGGACCGACACUUUGCCUAUGUCGAACUCGGCGGUGGAUGGAUCCGGAGGUUAUGCUGCCACCCAUGUUGGGAAAAA